This 496-nucleotide ribosomal RNA is filed under the name uncultured bacterium. RNAcentral's name for it is "partial 16S ribosomal RNA". It matches the Rfam family "Bacterial small subunit ribosomal RNA", at positions 28 to 507 of the family's 1533-position model. The record is from RNAcentral.
GAUGAACGCUGGCGGCGUGCCUAAUACAUGCAAGUCGAACGCUGAAGGAGGAGCUUGCUCUUUCCGGAUGAGUUGCGAACGGGUGAGUAACGCGUAGGUAACCUGCCUGGUAGCGGGGGAUAACUAUUGGAAACGAUAGCUAAUACCGCAUAACAGUAGAUAUUGCAUGAUAUUUGCUUGAAAGGGGCAAUUGCUCCACUACCAGAUGGACCUGCGUUGUAUUAGCUAGUUGGUGAGGUAACGGCUCACCAAGGCGACGAUACAUAGCCGACCUGAGAGGGUGAUCGGCCACACGGGGACUGAGACACGGCCCAGACUCCUACGGGAGGCAGCAGUAGGGAAUCUUCGGCAAUGGACGGAAGUCUGACCGAGCAACGCCGCGUGAGUGAAGAAGGUUUUCGGAUCGUAAAGCUCUGUUGUAAGAGAAGAACGAGUGUGAGAGUGGAAAGUUCACACUGUGACGGUAUCUUACCAGAAAGGGACGGCUAACUACGUG